GGCCUCACUCUCUCUCGACAGAGACUCAAAACCAAAACGCAAAGCUCCUCACUCUCUCAACAGCGUCUCUCCAAAACCAAAACCUCACUCUCCCAAACCCUCUCUCUUCUUCGACAAACCCCAAUCAAAGCUCUUUCUCUUCGACAAACCCCGACCAAAACCAUCUCUCCCUCUAGCUAGGUUAUUCGAUCUGGGAAAUAGCGAAGGGAAGAAAACCAACUGGGUAGCCUCUAGCGUUCUUCAGAUCUUUCGACGAUGGUGGUUGUUUCUUUCGUCGGUGGUUACAACUUUGAAAGCAAGUACAGAGGGUUCAGGGCUUACCAAUUUUGAAAGCAAACCUAGAGUUGAAUCGGAGAGAGAAGACGUCAGACUUCCUGGGCAUCAAAAUCGGAGUUCGAUUAAUUAGGGUUAGGAUUUGCGUCGAUUUUCGAGAGGCUUCAAGAUUUUCAUUGCGAUUAAGGUUGAGACCACUUUUUGGUAAGUUAUUGUAUUAUGAAAUUCAGCUAUGGGUAACUGGGAUUUGAAUUUUGUGGUUUCAGUAUUGGAUUCGAACAUUGGAGAUGUGGAUUUGGGAUUGAAGGAAAAAAUGUCAAAAUUGGGUCCAGGAAGGUAACUACGAAGGUUUCGAUGGUAUUCGAUAGAAAUUUUAGCUACUCCUUCUGCUUAGCACUGGAUUCCUUGCUGCUAGUUUGGUAUUUUCUGCCUUUUGGUUUACGUUUGCAGUCUAUUUUUGGAACAUUGAAGUUAAUUUGGGUUUUUAGUUGUGAUUCUGUCAAGAAAUUCAAUGGGUAUUAGGCUCAAGAGAAUGGUGGUCUCCGAUGAGAGCCUUGAGUUGCUUUCCAGGUAUGGCCAAGAAAUUAUGGCAGUGAAGGGGAGGGUCUUGCAAUAUCCACCAGUGUUCAGGCAUCGUUUGUAAGAGGUGUUCUUAAGAAAACUGGAGUUGAGCCACAAGUGGAGAGGAUUAGUAAAUACGAAAGUGCUGGUGAGCAACUUGCGCUACGACAAUGUCCGAAGAAAAUUGUGAGAUGCUGACAGCAUUGCUCGAUAACAUAUAUGGGAACUGGCUGGACAUAAUUUCUUCUACAAGAGGUGCUUUGAGAUUUGGAAGCAUUUAAGUAAUAUUGAUUCUCUUGCUUGACAUGCCCUGGUGGUGAUGCCCUUGCUUCUGAUUUGAUGUGGAGGGAAAUCAAACUUUUGGCUGCAUCAAAACCGGACAUCACAUCAAUGUCUGACGUGGCAGCAAGUGGAGGAUACUAUAUGGCAAUGGCAGCAGAUGCCAUUGUUGCAGAAAAUUUAACCUUAACUGGUUCCAUUGGAGUUGUCACAGGU
Rosa rugosa (rugosa rose) is the source of this 1329-nucleotide long non-coding RNA. RefSeq lists it as uncharacterized. The record is from RefSeq and is a predicted model, not a curated record. Lineage: Eukaryota; Viridiplantae; Streptophyta; Magnoliopsida; Rosales; Rosaceae. The transcript is spliced from 4 exons.